This 352-nucleotide unclassified non-coding RNA is filed under the name soil metagenome. RNAcentral describes it as "partial contains 5.8S ribosomal RNA, internal transcribed spacer 2, and large subunit ribosomal RNA". The stretch from base 1 to 120 matches the Rfam family "5.8S ribosomal RNA", at positions 35 to 154 of the family's 154-position model. The record is from RNAcentral.
GAUGAAGAACGCAGCGAAAUGCGAUAAGUAAUGUGAAUUGCAGAAUUCAGUGAAUCAUCGAAUCUUUGAACGCACAUUGCGCCCGCCAGUAUUCUGGCGGGCAUGCCUGUUCGAGCGUCAUUACAACCCUCAGGCCCCCGGGCCUGGCGUUGGGGAUCGGCGGAAGCCCCCUGUGGGCACACGCCGUCCCUCAAAUACAGUGGCGAUCCCGCCGCAGCUUCCAUUGCGUAGUAGCUAACACCUCGCAACUGGAGAGCGGCGCGGCCAUGCCGUAAAACACCCAACUUCUGAAUGUUGACCUCGAAUCAGGUAGGAAUACCCGCUGAACUUAAGCAUAUCAAUAAGCGGAGGA